This 647-nucleotide ribosomal RNA is filed under the name Vibrio sp. RNAcentral describes it as "bacterial SSU rRNA". It matches the Rfam family "Bacterial small subunit ribosomal RNA", at positions 385 to 1023 of the family's 1533-position model. The record is from RNAcentral. Lineage: Bacteria; Pseudomonadati; Pseudomonadota; Gammaproteobacteria; Vibrionales; Vibrionaceae.
GAUGCAGCCAUGCCGCGUGUAUGAAGAAGGCCUUCGGGUUGUAAAGUACUUUCAGUCGUGAGGAAGGCAUUAACGUUAAUAGCGUUAGUGUUUGACGUUAGCGACAGAAGAAGCACCGGCUAACUCCGUGCCAGCAGCCGCGGUAAUACGGAGGGUGCGAGCGUUAAUCGGAAUUACUGGGCGUAAAGCGCAUGCAGGUGGUUAGUUAAGUCAGAUGUGAAAGCCCGGGGCUCAACCUCGGAAUUGCAUUUGAAACUGGCUGACUAGAGUACUGUAGAGGGGGGUAGAAUUUCAGGUGUAGCGGUGAAAUGCGUAGAGAUCUGAAGGAAUACCGGUGGCGAAGGCGGCCCCCUGGACAGAUACUGACACUCAGAUGCGAAAGCGUGGGGAGCAAACAGGAUUAGAUACCCCUGGUAGUCCACGCCGUAAACGAUGUCUACUUGGAGGUUGUGGCCUUGAGCCGUGGCUUUCGGAGCUAACGCGUUAAGUAGACCGCCUGGGGAGUACGGUCGCAAGAUUAAAACUCAAAUGAAUUGACGGGGGCCCGCACAAGCGGUGGAGCAUGUGGUUUAAUUCGAUGCAACGCGAAGAACCUUACCUACUCUUGACAUCCAUAGAACUUAGCAGAGAUGCUUUGGUGCCUUCGG